Molecule: ribosomal RNA, 254 nt
Filed under: uncultured Ktedonobacter sp.
Lineage: Bacteria; Bacillati; Chloroflexota; Ktedonobacteria; Ktedonobacterales; Ktedonobacteraceae
Description: partial 16S ribosomal RNA
Rfam family: Bacterial small subunit ribosomal RNA
Source: RNAcentral
UACGUAGGGGGCGAGCGUUGUCCGGAGUUACUGGGCGUAAAGGGCGUGCAGGCGGUGCGAUACGUUUGCAGUGACAGUGCCCGGCUUAACUGGGCAAGGCCUGGCAAAAACGGUCGGACUUGAGGGCCAGAGAGGGACAUAGAAUUCCGGGUGGAGUGGUGAAAUGCGUAGAUAUCCGGAGGAAUACCAAAGGCGAAGGCAGUGUCCUGGCUGGUGACUGACGCUGAGGCGCGAAAGCUAGGGGAGCGAACAGG